Molecule: ribosomal RNA, 351 nt
Filed under: uncultured bacterium
Lineage: Bacteria
Description: bacterial SSU rRNA
Rfam family: Bacterial small subunit ribosomal RNA
Source: RNAcentral
AGAGUUUGAUCCUGGCUCAGGAUGAACGCUAGCUACAGGCUUAACACAUGCAAGUCGAGGGGCAGCAUGUUGGUUGCUUGCAACCAACGAUGGCGACCGGCGCACGGGUGAGUAACGCGUAUCCAACCUACCCUUGUCCAUCGGAUAACCCGUCGAAAGGCGGCCUAACACGAUAUGCGGUUCACAGCAGGCAUCUAACGUGAACGAAAUGUGAAGGAGAAGGAUGGGGAUGCGUCUGAUUAGCUUGUUGGCGGGGUAACGGCCCGACCAAGGCUACGAUCAGUAGGGGUUCUGAGAGGAAGGUCCCCCACACUUGGAACUGAGACACGGUCCAAACUCCUACGGGAGUCA